AGAUGGCGACCGGCGCACGGGUGAGUAACACGUAUCCAACCUGCCGAUAACUCGGGGAUAGCCUUUCGAAAGAAAGAUUAAUACCCGAUAGUAUAAUGAAACCGCAUGGUCUUAUUAUUAAAGAAUUUCGGUUAUCGAUGGGGAUGCGUUCCAUUAGGCAGUUGGUGAGGUAACGGCUCACCAAACCUUCGAUGGAUAAGGGUUCUGAGAGGAAGGUCCCCCACAUUGGAACUGAGACACGGUCCAA
RNAcentral lists this ribosomal RNA (247 nucleotides) under uncultured bacterium. RNAcentral's name for it is "partial 16S ribosomal RNA". It matches the Rfam family "Bacterial small subunit ribosomal RNA", at positions 86 to 334 of the family's 1533-position model. The record is from RNAcentral.